RNAcentral lists this unclassified non-coding RNA (336 nucleotides) under soil metagenome. RNAcentral's name for it is "partial contains 5.8S ribosomal RNA, internal transcribed spacer 2, and large subunit ribosomal RNA". The stretch from base 1 to 120 matches the Rfam family "5.8S ribosomal RNA", at positions 35 to 154 of the family's 154-position model. The record is from RNAcentral.
GAUGAAGAACGCAGCGAAAUGCGAUAAGUAAUGUGAAUUGCAGAAUUCAGUGAAUCAUCGAAUCUUUGAACGCACAUUGCGCCCGCCAGUAUUCUGGCGGGCAUGCCUGUUCGAGCGUCAUUUCAACCAUCAAGCCCCCGGCUUGUGUUGGGGUCCUGCGGCUGCCGCAGGCCCUGAAAACCAGUGGCGGGCUCGCUGUCACACCGAGCGUAGUAGAUUUUCAUCUCGCUCAGGGCGUGCUGCGGGUUCCGGCCGUAAAAAGCCUUAUUUACCCAAGGUUGACCUCGGAUCAGGUAGGAAGACCCGCUGAACUUAAGCAUAUCAAUAAGCGGAGGA